This 253-nucleotide ribosomal RNA is filed under the name uncultured bacterium. Its description in RNAcentral is "partial 16S ribosomal RNA". It matches the Rfam family "Bacterial small subunit ribosomal RNA", at positions 524 to 776 of the family's 1533-position model. The record is from RNAcentral.
UACGAAGGGGGCUAGCGUUGCUCGGAAUGACUGGGCGUAAAGGGCGCGUAGGCGGCUGGCACAGUCGGAUGUGAAAUUCCCGGGCUUAACCUGGGGGCUGCAUUUGAUACGUGUUGUCUAGAGUGAGGAAGAGGGUUGUGGAAUUCCCAGUGUAGAGGUGAAAUUCGUAGAUAUUGGGAAGAACACCGGUGGCGAAGGCGGCAACCUGGUCCUUGACUGACGCUGAGGCGCGAAAGCGUGGGGAGCAAACAGG